GACGAACGCUGGCGGCGUGCUUAACACAUGCAAGUCGAACGGUAAGGCCCUUCGGGGUACACGAGUGGCGAACGGGUGAGUAACGCGUGAGUAACCUGCCCUUGACUCUGGGAUAACAGAUGGAAACGUCUGCUAAUACCGGAUACUCAGCCUUGUGGGCAUCCACAGGGUUGGAAAGCUCCGGCGGUCAAGGAUGGACUCGCGUCCUAUCAGCUAGUUGGUGGGGUAAUGGCCUACCAAGGCGACGACGGGUAGCCGGCCUGAGAGGGCGACCGGCCACAUUGGGACUGAGAUACGGCCCAGACUCCUACGGGAGGCAGCAGUGGGGAAUAUUGCACAAUGGGCGCAAGCCUGAUGCAGCAACGCCGCGUGCGGGAUGACGGCCUUCGGGUUGUAAACCGCUUUCAGCAGGGACGAAGCGCAAGUGACGGUACCUGCAGAAGAAGCACCGGCUAACUACGUG
This 463-nucleotide ribosomal RNA is filed under the name uncultured organism. RNAcentral describes it as "bacterial SSU rRNA". It matches the Rfam family "Bacterial small subunit ribosomal RNA", at positions 28 to 507 of the family's 1533-position model. The record is from RNAcentral.